CCUACGGGGGGCAGCAGUGGGGAAUAUUGGACAAUGGGCGAAAGCCUGAUCCAGCCAUGCCGCGUGUGUGAAGAAGGCCUUCGGGUUGUAAAGCACUUUCAGUGGGGAAGAAAGCCUUGGGGCUAAUACCCUCGAGGAAGGACAUCACCCACAGAAGAAGCACCGGCUAACUCCGUGCCAACAGCCGCGGUAAUACGGAGGGUGCGAGCGUUAAUCGGAAUUACUGGGCGUAAAGCGCGCGUAGGCGGUCUGAUAAGCCGGUUGUGAAAGCCCCGGGCUCAACCUGGGAACGGCAUCCGGAACUGUCAGGCUAGAGUGCAGGAGAGGAAGGUAGAAUUCCCGGUGUAGCGGUGAAAUGCGUAGAGAUCGGGAGGAAUACCAGUGGCGAAGGCGGCCUUCUGGACUGACACUGACGCUGAGGUGCGAAAGCGUGGGUAGCAAACAGGAUUAGAUACCCGUGUAGUC
This 465-nucleotide ribosomal RNA is filed under the name Vreelandella stevensii. RNAcentral describes it as "partial 16S ribosomal RNA". It matches the Rfam family "Bacterial small subunit ribosomal RNA", at positions 338 to 795 of the family's 1533-position model. The record is from RNAcentral. Lineage: Bacteria; Pseudomonadati; Pseudomonadota; Gammaproteobacteria; Oceanospirillales; Halomonadaceae.